GACGAACGCUGGCGGCGUGCUUAACACAUACAAGUCGAACGGAAAGGCCCUGCGUUUGUGGGGUGCUCGAGGGGCGAACGGGGGAGUAACACGUGAGUAACCUGCCCUUGACUUUGGGGUAACUUCAGGAAACUGGGGCUAAUACCGGAUAGGAGCUCCUGCUGCAUGGUGGGGGGGGGAAAGUUUCGGCGGUUGGGGCUGGACUCGCGGCUUAUCAGCUUGUUGGUGGGGUAGUGGCUUACCAAGGCUUUGACGGGUAGCCGGCCUGAGAGGGUGACCGGCCACAUUGGGACUGCGAUACGGCCCAGACUCCUACGGGAGGCAGCAGUGGGGAAUAUUGCACAAUGGGCGGAAGCCUGAUGCAGCAACGCCGCGUGCGGGAUGACGGCCUUCGGGUUGUAAACCGCUUUCGCCUGUGACGAAGCGUGAGUGACGGUAAUGGGUAAAGAAGCACCGGCUAACUACGUG
RNAcentral lists this ribosomal RNA (468 nucleotides) under uncultured bacterium. RNAcentral describes it as "partial 16S ribosomal RNA". It matches the Rfam family "Bacterial small subunit ribosomal RNA", at positions 28 to 507 of the family's 1533-position model. The record is from RNAcentral.